CCCUUAGAUGUCCUGGGCCGCACGCGCGCUACACUGAGUGUCUGAGAUACGAGUCUGCCUGGUCCGGCAAGGUCUAGGUAAUCGCUAAAAGACACAUCAUGCUUGGGAUAGAUUAUUGCAAAUAUUAAUCUUGAACGAGGAAUUCCUAGUAAGCGCAAGUCAACAGCUUGCGUUGAUUACGUCCCUGCCCUUUGUACACACCGCCCGUCGCUACUACUGAUUGGAUGUUUAAGCGAGGUUCUAGAACUGCUAGCGACUUAGCUUCGGUGAGGUCGCAGUGUGGGAAGUGAACCUAGCUUUGGUGUCUAGAGGAAGUAAAAGUCGUAACA
RNAcentral lists this ribosomal RNA (329 nucleotides) under uncultured eukaryote. RNAcentral's name for it is "partial 18S ribosomal RNA". It matches the Rfam family "Eukaryotic small subunit ribosomal RNA", at positions 1470 to 1796 of the family's 1831-position model. The record is from RNAcentral.